GCUGCUUGUUAAUUUUUGCUGGCCGGACUAAUGUUCGGUUUUGUUGCAGAUUCUUGAAAGCCUGCAGUUAUAUGCUUUCAGCUUGUAUCCAGUUCCUGCUAUGUUCAAUGUAAAGCUGCUGGAUGUUACGGAACCGCUCGUUUGCUAGUUGGGUCUAUUACUACUUAUUUUUCGCGAGAAAACAACUGCUGUAGAUUUUGUUUUAUAAUUUUCUAGGAGUAUUUUCGGUCUCAAAUGUUGGCCAUAUUAUCCUGUGACACAUCUAUGAAGUUGUGGCCGUGUCUCCUACAUUUUAGGAUGCUUGUGGUUUGAGGAUUCAGUCUGUAUUUUCAAAGAUUUAUCUGUUCGAUUUGGUUUUUUUCGAUAUUUUGCGAUUGCUUCAA
This is a long non-coding RNA of Phalaenopsis equestris, 383 nucleotides long. RefSeq lists it as uncharacterized. The transcript is spliced from 2 exons. The record is from RefSeq and is a predicted model, not a curated record. NCBI's taxonomy places the organism in Eukaryota, Viridiplantae, Streptophyta, Magnoliopsida, Asparagales, Orchidaceae.